UCCCUGGUAUCUCAGGUGGUAAAGAAUCUGCCUGCAAUGUAGGAGACCCAGGUUCAAUCCCUGGGUUGGGAA
This 72-nucleotide transfer RNA is filed under the name Ovis aries (sheep). It matches the Rfam family "tRNA". Rfam says of the family: Transfer RNA (tRNA) molecules are approximately 80 nucleotides in length. Their secondary structure includes four short double-helical elements and three loops (D, anti-codon, and T loops). Further hydrogen bonds mediate the characteristic L-shaped molecular structure. tRNAs have two regions of fundamental functional importance: the anti-codon, which is responsible for specific mRNA codon recognition, and the 3' end, to which the tRNAs corresponding amino acid is attached (by aminoacyl-tRNA synthetases). tRNAs cope with the degeneracy of the genetic code in two manners: having more than one tRNA (with a specific anti-codon) for a particular amino acid; and 'wobble' base-pairing, i.e. permitting non-standard base-pairing at the 3rd anti-codon position. Lineage: Eukaryota; Metazoa; Chordata; Mammalia; Artiodactyla; Bovidae. The record is from Rfam by way of RNAcentral.